RNAcentral lists this ribosomal RNA (406 nucleotides) under uncultured bacterium. Its description in RNAcentral is "partial 16S ribosomal RNA". It matches the Rfam family "Bacterial small subunit ribosomal RNA", at positions 29 to 526 of the family's 1533-position model. The record is from RNAcentral.
AUUGAACGCUGGCGGCAGGCCUAACACAUGCAAGUCGAGCGAGCGGCGGACGGGCGAGCAAGGUAUGGGGAUCUGCCCGAUAGAGGGGGAUAACUACUGGAAACGGUGGCUACUCCCGCAUACUAUCGGUUGAACCCAUAUUGGAUUAGCGAGUAGGUGGGGUAAAGGCACACCUAGGCGAAGAUCACUAGCUGGGCUGAGAGGAUGAUCAGCCACACUGGGACUGAGACACGGCCCAGACUCCUACGGGAGGCAGCAGUGGGGAAUAUUGCACAAUGGGCGCAAGCCUGAUGCAGCAAUGCCGCGUGUAUGAAGAAGGCCUGAGGGUUGUAAAGUACUUUCAGCGGGGAGGCGUUACCCGAAGAAGAAGCACCGGCUAACUCCGUGCCAGCAGCCGCGGUAAUUC